AGAGGAGAGAGAGAGAGAGAGAGGGAAGAGAGAGAGAGAGAGAGGGAAGAGAGAGAGAGAGGGAGAGAGAGAGAGAGAGAGAGAGAGAGAGAGAGAGAGAGAGGGAAGAGAGAGAGAGAGAGAGAGGGACGAGAGAGAGAGGGGGAAGAGAGAGAGAGAGGGACGAGAGAGAGAGAGGGACGAGAGAGUUAAAGUUAGAGGGAAGAGAGAGAGAGAGAGCGAGAGGGAAGAGAGAGAUAGCGAGAGGGAAGAGAGAGAUAGCGAGAGGGAAGAGAGAGAUAGCGAGAGGGAAGAGAGAGAGAGCGAGAGAGGUGAGUGAGAGAGAGAGGGGGAAGAG
Molecule: long non-coding RNA, 337 nt
Organism: Oncorhynchus tshawytscha (Chinook salmon)
Lineage: Eukaryota; Metazoa; Chordata; Actinopteri; Salmoniformes; Salmonidae
Source: Ensembl